AUCACGCCGCAAGGCUAACUCCUCUUCGGCUGCUGCUUGCUGCUUUGACAAAUUCUAGGCAACCAAGGAAUUUUGGACCAGCUGCACCUAUCCUGAAAUCCAUUAUUCAGUUACACUAGAAUACACAGCUAGAGUACCAAGAUGAUGCCUUCGAGAGACCGAGGAAAUGCGCAGGAUAACCGCCGCGCCGCCGCUGUCUCGUGCCCGCAGCGCAAGCUGCCUGUCCCGGCGAAUUUGUGCGGCCGCGCGUCGCCGCCGCCGCAGCGUGCGCAGGAUGCGCCUCCCCAGCCGCCGCGGCCGGCAGAGUCGGUGCAGCCAGACGGUGGUCCUACGCAAUCUGCAUCGCUGCCAACACCACAGGCACCGGUGCAGGAUGACGCUACCCCUAGCGCCACGGCCAGUAGCGGCGACGAGGGCAACGGCGACAGCGAGGGGAAGGAGUCCUUGGAGAAUCCCCUGGUGUCCAUGGAAUGCUUCAUCUUCCUGUAGCGCUAGUCAGCAGGUAACUACUCCACCGUUACAGUCGGGUAAGAAACCAGAUUUAGUAGUCGUAUGCAUGUAUUAACCCUCGCGAGUAACAGUAACAUGGUGUCGUUGGUAAAUUCUCUCCGUGGGUUAGAAUUUUUUUUUACCCUAGGAAGAAAUCAAUCCUAAUGUGCCUAGCGCCAUCUGACUGAGACCGGAUGGCUUGGUUUUGCUGUGCUGUACUGCAGUCACGGUGUCCUCUGGAUACUCUGGAUGUAAUCUGUAGACUGUGUAGCCAAGGUAGUAGUAACUCUAAUGAACUUGACUGCACAUCUCUUUCCUACACUAUUGUUCAACCAUGGAUUCUACUACAGUAUUCGUUUUACCUAAGUAAUGUUCUCGGUAGCACAAGGGCAUUAUCUAUUUGUAAGCUUGUGUUUGAUGGAAUGUUGGAAUGAGAUGACAACUAUUGUAUGCCAGGAAAUAGGUAAAAUGAAGCAGAGAUAUUUGUAUGAUUUUUGUGAUGCUGAAAGAGCAAGGCCAUGAUGCUUGAAUGGUUCCAAUCUGGCUAGGAUCAACAACGAAGUGCAAAGCUUCAUAUUCAGUUUUUUUCAUACAUAUUAAUAUUAAUUGUUAGUUGCUUUCGCAGUUUAAGUGUCUACAUGAAGUAAAAAAAAAUCUACCUCUUCUUAAUAAACUGUAUGCAUGUAGAAGCUAAAUUUAAGAUCACCUUUGACAUAAGGACAAGAGGUUGGAUGCUGGUGUGACACAUUCAUGUUGCUCAUACACUAGGAGCGUAUAGAGGCUAGCAAUGUCAUUGUUCUGGCCAUAUUUUACACAUGAUCUUGCUGGUUUACACUCUUAAAUAAGGUAUGUACUAGCUAUCCUAAAUCAUUUCUCCAAUUCUGGACCCGUUUUGGUAUCGUUGAACAUAUCAACGUCCAAUGCAUCAUUCUUUUCUCACAGCACCUAAUGCAAUUCGUUUAUAACAUGCUUUCUUUGUUUUUUCAGCACUAGAAAUGUUCGCGUUGAUUGGUCAUGAGGUUUCAUAUAUGAAGGGGCCCACGAGGCUGGUGAUAUAAAGAAGGGUGGGUUUUAAGAGGAUGUGAGGGAAAGACGAAAAAGUGCAUUUUUAAAAGGAUGUGAGGGAAUUAUGUAUUUAUAGAUAUUUGGUCUGACCUGAGGGAAAGACUAGAGUGCAUUUUAAGGGAACGUGUCACCAUAUGUUGCUAAUAAGUGUUUUGAGUUUUUCUUUAUGUUUUGAGAUGAUUAUUGCAUCGUGGAAAAGGUACAAUGACUAAAGUUGGAAUGAAACCAAAUGGCACAGAGUGGAAUUUAAGAUGUUUGAGUAGUGCA
Molecule: long non-coding RNA, 1821 nt
Organism: Brachypodium distachyon (stiff brome)
Lineage: Eukaryota; Viridiplantae; Streptophyta; Magnoliopsida; Poales; Poaceae
Exons: 2
Source: RefSeq, a predicted model, not a curated record